CACACCAGCCAGGGCAAACCCUUAGUUUUUAGCUAAUGUCAUUUUUCUGUUCCAAGAUCCCAUUUGGAAAAGAAAUUACAUUUAGUCACAACUUUUUGAGUACUGGAAUUCAUGUACAUUAUCUAAGGUAUGUUCUUUAUCAAAGAUGUGGUCUAAUGAACACAAAAUCUAGCUCAUCAAUUUAGCUAAUUCUGAAUGUAACUGGAAGUCAAGGCAGAAUUGGGUUUUUCUAUUCUGGGUCUGUGUGACCUCGUCCUUACCUCAUUAAGUGCUGCGUACAGAGAAGUUCUCGGAGGCCAGAUUUCUGAAAAAAGUAGUGUUAAGUGGUAAGUAUAGGUGUGAAUUUGUCUUCAUGAAACGUCCAAACUCAAGAAGGAACAGCUGGUUUCCUGCCCAGAUUUCAAGUUGAGCAUGUAAGGAGACGAGUGACCUGCAGGUGACUCCAGAGACAAAACGAGAAAUGAGCAGUGGAUAAAAACAAGAGGCCCUCUGUAUCUCCUGGUAUAACAAGGCCCUUUGUCCUCAGGAAAACAAGGUUUGACCUGCCCUUUCAGAUUCUGACGUGUGCUUGGUUCUGCCCGUUGUAUCUGUGGUGGUAUUAGGACUUCCUUUUCCAUAGAGCCAGAAACUGUGGUUUGGCAACAUCCCAGCCCAGGCAGGACAGGGUGGGAGGAGGGGUUUGGAGGCAUCUUUGGGAAAUCCUGUAGCCAGGCCCUGCAAGGAAAUAACAAGCUGAUAUUGAGUAUAGUGGUUUUAAGAGGUCAUGUGUGAGACUGGGAAGGAGAGGGGCCUUGAGGGGUGUGAGCCAGUUUCUAUCCAGGAGUGAGUGAUCUAGCCUUUUACAGCUGUGGCUCGAGGGCACCGAGACAUUUAGAGCAAUGGGAAAGUGUUAUUCCUCUUCCAUGGUUUUAAACUUUAACAGGACACCUGUCUUUAAAAGUUGUAAUUAGAAUAGUGCUGGUUGUAUGAGUUGAGGCCACGGAUAUUCAAAACGUAUAAUGCAGAAAUCCAAAGAUCUCAGAAGGAUUCAUUCUAUAGUUCCUUAAACAAGGUUCCUUAAACAUUUCUUUUAAGA
Molecule: long non-coding RNA, 1075 nt
Organism: Phyllostomus discolor (pale spear-nosed bat)
Lineage: Eukaryota; Metazoa; Chordata; Mammalia; Chiroptera; Phyllostomidae
Exons: 2
Source: RefSeq, a predicted model, not a curated record